GUUAAAUUCCAGUUAGUUAACAUACAGUAUAAUAUUAGUUUCAGGUGUACAAUAUAGUGAUCCUUUAUAAUAUCAUCAAUUGCAAUUAAGGACACUACAAUCAUCUGUAGGCCUAAGAAGAAAAAUUUUUGAUGGGAGCAAUUACGCCACAUAAAUUUGGAUUGGAACCUGGAACACUCAGCUACCAACUGCUGCUUCCGAAAGCUACUAUAAAUGGAGACUGACUGGCUGGUCCACUUUUCAGAUUGUCUUGGACUGAAGCAAGAGUGGAGGGAGAAGGUAGUUGAAGAGAAGAAUCCAUAAGCCUCGUGUCUUGGAAAAGAGAAAAGGGACAACUCAGCAGCUUGUGAGGACAGUGUUAGCAGUACUGGAAAAUUCAGAUGGAUUACUGAUGCCACCUCUAGAGAUAUACCUGAAUUCAGCUCAAAACAAAAUCACCCUGGUCUGUAAACACUUUAAUAAACUCACUGAAGCUUAAUGACUUCAAUUGUUUUCAUCAUCACAUAUGUCCCUAAAAGCACUCUAAUUUCAUAUGUUUCACAAUUGUAACAAAAAUAAUUGUAUUCCACUUCAGUAUUUUAAAUCUGUGCAAGUAUCAAAAACAAAAACAAGCUAAACAGAAGACGUGCUUAAUAAUAUUUUUAAAAAUUUGAAACUGUGGUCUGUAUCUAGAAAUUUAUCACAAUUUUAUGAUGUG
This 697-nucleotide long non-coding RNA is filed under the name Felis catus (domestic cat). Its description in RNAcentral is "lncRNA (ENSFCAG00000048292.1)". The record is from RNAcentral. Lineage: Eukaryota; Metazoa; Chordata; Mammalia; Carnivora; Felidae.